Molecule: unclassified non-coding RNA, 915 nt
Filed under: Hevea brasiliensis (rubber tree)
Lineage: Eukaryota; Viridiplantae; Streptophyta; Magnoliopsida; Malpighiales; Euphorbiaceae
Source: RNAcentral
UCCGUUUACUCAAGUAAACGAGUAUUUACUAGUGAAACGUAGUCGCCAGUGGGUCCAAUCUCCUCUCUCCAUCACUCCGGUAUUGCUGCUACUUGAGCAACAGCAGAUCUGCUACUCUUUCACUCGCUGAGCUGAUCUCUGAAUUCGGCAAAUGCUGUGGUUCAAGUCAAUUGGAGCUUCAGGAUUACUAUUUCUACUCUGGUUAUGGCUGUUCCAGACGACUGAAGCUUCAGUGCAUGAUUACAAUGUGGAGAAAUUCGUGAGCAAGGGCAAUGCAUUUGUGGUUCACGGAGGUAGCGAAGGAAUUUACUCCUCUGUUCCUAACCUCACUGAAUCUCCUUCCUAUUCUUCUAACACCGACUCCUUCAUUCGGUUUGAAAAGAUUAUAUUUCGGAGGCCAAAGGAAUUCUCAAACUUCAGCUCAGACCCAGUUCAUGCAAUUGUUUUUGAGGUGGAUGAUCGAGAGUUAAUUGGGGGCUCUGCUUAUGGUGGCCAAAGAGCUAUUUGUUGCACAGUGGAUCUUGCAAAACUUGGAGUUUGUACACAAGGGCAAAUAAUUCACCGCCCAUCUGCUAGUAAUCCCGGAUGGCCUAAAGUUUUUAGUGCCUCAUUCAGCAUUGAUGAAGUUGAUGUAGCACUGCAGUCGAGAUCAAUCCCCAUUACAAAAACUGGGAUGUAUAACGUGUAUUUUAUUCACUGUGAGCCAAAUCUUAAGGAAAUAACUGUUGAAGGGAAAACCAUAUGGAAGAAUCCUACUGGUUACCUACCUGGUAGAAUGGCUCCCCUUAUGAACUUCUAUGGGUACAUGUCUCUUGCAUUCGUGUUACUAGGGAUCUUUUGGUUUUCGCAGUAUGCAAGAUUCUGGAGAGAAGUUAUUCCUUUACAAAAUUGUAUUACACUCGUUAUAACAUUGGG